AUGCCUAUGGGACGCAGCAGUGAGGAAUAUUGGUCAAUGGGCGCGAGCCUGAACCAGCCAAGUAGCGUGAAGGAUGACUGCCCUACGGGUUGUAAACUUCUUUUAUAAAGGAAUAAAGUGAGGCACGUGUGCCUUUUUGUAUGUACUUUAUGAAUAAGGAUCGGCUAACUCCGUGCCAGCAGCCGCGGUAAUACGGAGGAUUCGAGCGUUAUCCGGAUUUAUUGGGUUUAAAGGGAGCGUAGCUGGGUUGUUAAGUCAGUUGUGACAGUUUGCGGCUCAACCGUAACAUUGCAAUUGAUACUGGC
Molecule: ribosomal RNA, 305 nt
Filed under: uncultured bacterium
Lineage: Bacteria
Description: bacterial SSU rRNA
Rfam family: Bacterial small subunit ribosomal RNA
Source: RNAcentral